CGCGCAGAACCUUACCUGGACUUGACAUAGAAAGAAUUGCGCAGAGAUGUGUUAGUGCUAGCUUGCUAGAACUUUCAUACAGGUGCUGCAUGGCCGUCG
RNAcentral lists this ribosomal RNA (99 nucleotides) under uncultured marine bacterium. Its description in RNAcentral is "partial small subunit ribosomal RNA". The record is from RNAcentral.